GAUGAACGCUGGCGGCGUGCCUAAUACAUGCCAGUCUAGCGAACGGACGAGAAGCUUGCUUCUCUGAUGUUAGCGGCGGACGGGUGAGUAACACGUGGAUAACCUACCUAUAAGACUGGGAUAACUUCGGGAAACCGUAGCUAAUACCGGAUAAUAUUUUGAACCGCAUGGUUCAAAAGUGAAAGACGGUCUUGCUGUCACUUAUAGAUGGAUCCGCGCUGCAUUAGCUAGUUGGUAAGGUAACGGCUUACCAAGGCAACGAUGCAUAGCCGACCUGAGAGGGUGAUCGGCCACACUGGAACUGAGACACGGUCCAGACUCCUACGGGAGGCAGCAGUAGGGAAUCUUCCGCAAUGGGCGAAAGCCUGACGGAGCAACGCCGCGUGAGUGAUGAAGGUCUUCGGAUCGUAAAACUCUGUUAUUAGGGAAGAACAUAUGUGUAAGUAACUGUGCACAUCUUGACGGUACCUAAUCAGAAAGCCACGGCUAACUACGUG
Molecule: ribosomal RNA, 497 nt
Filed under: uncultured bacterium
Lineage: Bacteria
Description: partial 16S ribosomal RNA
Rfam family: Bacterial small subunit ribosomal RNA
Source: RNAcentral